RNAcentral lists this small RNA (28 nucleotides) under Bombyx mori (domestic silkworm). RNAcentral's name for it is "ovarian small RNA-13232". Lineage: Eukaryota; Metazoa; Arthropoda; Insecta; Lepidoptera; Bombycidae. The record is from RNAcentral.
CAGCGACAGUGCUUCAAUAAUGCAAAAC